RNAcentral lists this ribosomal RNA (497 nucleotides) under uncultured bacterium. RNAcentral describes it as "partial 16S ribosomal RNA". It matches the Rfam family "Bacterial small subunit ribosomal RNA", at positions 28 to 507 of the family's 1533-position model. The record is from RNAcentral.
GAUGAACGCUGGCGGCGUGCCUAAUACAUGCAAGGCGAGCGAACAGACGAGGAGCUUGCUCCUCUGACGUUAGCGGCGGACGGGUGAGUAACACGUGGAUAACCUACCUAUAAGACUGGGAUAACUUCGGGAAACCGGAGCUAAUACCGGAUAAUAUAUUGAACCGCAUGGUUCAAUAGUGAAAGACGGUUUGGCUGUCACUUAGAGAUGGAUCCGCGUCGCAUUAGCUAGUUGGUAAGGUAACGGCCUACCAAGGCAACGAUGCGUAGCCGAGCUGAGAGGAUGAUCGGCCACACUGGAACUGAGACACGGUCCAGACUCCUACGGGAGGCAGCAGUGGGGAAUCUUCCGCAAAGGGCGAAAGCCUGACGGAGCCACGCCGCGUGAGUGAUGAAGGUCUUCGGAUCGUAAAGCUCUUUUAUUAGGGAAGAACAAAUGUGUAUUUAUCUCUGCACGUCCUGACGGUACCUAAUCAGAAAGCCCCGGCUAACUUCGUG